GCGCAGGAAAAGAAACCAACAGGGAUUGCCCUAGUAACGGCGAGUGAAGCGGCAACAGCUCAAAUUUGAAAUCUGGUCCUUCGGGGCCCGAGUUGUAAUUUGCAGAGGAUGCUUUUGGCGCGGUGCCUUCCGAGUGCCCUGGAACGGGACGCCACAGAGGGUGAGAGCCCCGUAUGGUUGGACACCAAGCCUAUGUAAAGCUCCUUCGACGAGUCGAGUAGUUUGGGAAUGCUGCUCAAAAUGGGAGGUAAACCCCUUCUAAAGCUAAAUACUGGCCAGAGACCGAUAGCGCACAAGUAGAGUGAUCGAAAGAUGAAAAGCACUUUGAAAAGAGAGUUAAAAAGCACGUGAAAUUGUUGAAAGGGAAGCGUUUGCGACCAGACUUGCGCCCGUCGAAUCAACCGUCCCUCGUGGGCGGUGCACUUCGGCGGGCUCAGGCCAGCAUCAGUUUACUGUAGGGGGAGAAAGGCGCUGGGAAUGUAGCUCCUCGGAGUGUUAUAGCCCGGCGCGUAAUACCGCUCGGUGGACUGAGGACCGCGCGAAAGCAAGGAUGCUGGCGUAAUGGUCGUCAGCGACCCGUCUUGAAACACGGACCAAGGAGUCGUCCUAAUAUGCGAGUGUUUGGGUGUCAAACCCCAGCGCGUAAUGAAAGUG
Molecule: ribosomal RNA, 654 nt
Filed under: uncultured Doratomyces
Lineage: Eukaryota; Fungi; Ascomycota; Sordariomycetes; Microascales
Description: eukaryotic LSU rRNA
Rfam family: Eukaryotic large subunit ribosomal RNA
Source: RNAcentral